CUUUCUUUGCUGGCGACCGGCGCACAGGUGAGUAACACGUAUCCAACCUGCCCUUUACUCGGGGAUAGCCUUUCGGAAGAAAGAUUAAUACCCGAUAGUAUAAUGAUUCCGCAUGGUUUCAUUAUUAAAGGAUUCCGGUAAAGGAUGGGGAUGCGUUCCAUUAGGUUGUUGGUGAGGUAACGGCUCACCAAGCCUUCGAUGGAUAGGGGUUCUGAGAGGAAGGUCCCCCACAUUGGAACUGAGACACGGUCCAA
This 254-nucleotide ribosomal RNA is filed under the name uncultured bacterium. Its description in RNAcentral is "partial 16S ribosomal RNA". It matches the Rfam family "Bacterial small subunit ribosomal RNA", at positions 79 to 334 of the family's 1533-position model. The record is from RNAcentral.